Molecule: ribosomal RNA, 528 nt
Filed under: uncultured bacterium
Lineage: Bacteria
Description: bacterial SSU rRNA
Rfam family: Bacterial small subunit ribosomal RNA
Source: RNAcentral
UGGGGAAUAUUGGACAAUGGACCAAAAGUCUGAUCCAGCAAUUCUGUGUGCACGAUGACGUUUUUCGGAAUGUAAAGUGCUUUCAGUUGGGAAGAAAAAAAUGACGGUACCAACAGAAGAAGUGACGGCUAAAUACGUGCCAGCAGCCGCGGUAAUACGUAUGUCACAAGCGUUGUCCGGAAUUAUUGGGCGUAAAGCGCGCGCAGGCGGAUCAGUUAGUCUGUCUUAAAAGUUCGGGGCUUAACCCCGUGAUGGGAUGGAAACUGCUGAUCUAGAGUAUCGGAGAGGAAAGUGGAAUUCCUAGUGUAGCGGUGAAAUGCGUAGAUAUUAGGAAGAACACCAGUGGCGAAGGCGACUUUCUGGACGAAAACUGACGCUGAGGCGCGAAAGCCAGGGGAGCGAACGGGAUUAGAUACCCCGGUAGUCCUGGCCGUAAACGAUGGGUACUAGGUGUAGGAGGUAUCGACCCCUUCUGUGCCGGAGUUAACGCAAUAAGUACCCCGCCUGGGGAGUACGACCGCAAGGUUG